This 75-nucleotide transfer RNA is filed under the name subsurface metagenome. Its description in RNAcentral is "tRNA-Gln". It matches the Rfam family "tRNA". From Rfam's summary of the family: Transfer RNA (tRNA) molecules are approximately 80 nucleotides in length. Their secondary structure includes four short double-helical elements and three loops (D, anti-codon, and T loops). The record is from RNAcentral.
UAGCCCUAUAGUAUAGUGGUCAAGUAUGAUGCCCCUUGGAGGCAUAGACCCAGGUUCGAAUCCUGGUAGGGCUAU